GACGAACGCUGGCGGCGUGCUUAACACAUGCAAGUCGAACGGAAAGGCCCUGCUUUUGUGGGGUGCUCGAGUGGCGAACGGGUGAGUAACACGUGAGUAACCUGCCCUUGACUUUGGGAUAACUUCAGGAAACUGGGGCUAAUACCGGAUAGGAGCUCCUGCUGCAUGGUGGGGGUUGGAAAGUUUCGGCGGUUGGGGAUGGACUCGCGGCUUAUCAGCUGGUUGGUGGGGUAGUGGCUUACCAAGGCGUUGACGGGUAGCCGGCCUGAGCGGGUGACCGGCCACAUUGGGACUGCGAUACGGCCCAGACUCCUACGGGAGGCAGCAGUGGGGAAUAUUGCACAAUGAGCGGAAGCCUGAUGCAGCAACGCCGCGUGCGGGAUGACGGCCUUCGGGUUGUAAACCGCUUUCGCCUGUGACGAAGCGUGAGUGACGGUAAUGGGUAAAGAAGCACCGGCUAACUACGUG
Molecule: ribosomal RNA, 468 nt
Filed under: uncultured bacterium
Lineage: Bacteria
Description: partial 16S ribosomal RNA
Rfam family: Bacterial small subunit ribosomal RNA
Source: RNAcentral